CGCUUAAUUUCCGGUCUUGCACCGGAGAGCGGGGGAACCAAGUCUUUGGGGCGAAUCGUCGCAUCUGCGACAUAGGGAACCAUCCAUCCCGAGCCCGUCAGCUAACCUCGUCAGCAGA
This 118-nucleotide small RNA is filed under the name Gorillibacterium timonense. Its description in RNAcentral is "ydaO/yuaA leader". It matches the Rfam family "c-di-AMP riboswitch aptamer (ydaO/yuaA leader)", at positions 12 to 118 of the family's 134-position model. From Rfam's summary of the family: This family represents a conserved RNA structure found upstream of the ydaO and yuaA genes in Bacillus subtilis and related genes in other bacteria. Lineage: Bacteria; Bacillati; Bacillota; Bacilli; Caryophanales; Paenibacillaceae. The record is from RNAcentral.